This 269-nucleotide ribosomal RNA is filed under the name uncultured eukaryote. RNAcentral's name for it is "partial 18S ribosomal RNA". It matches the Rfam family "Eukaryotic small subunit ribosomal RNA", at positions 6 to 276 of the family's 1831-position model. The record is from RNAcentral.
GGUUGAUCCUGCCAGUAGUCAUAUGCUUGUCUCAAAGAUUAAGCCAUGCAUGUCUAAGUAUAAACACCUUUAUACAGUGAAACUGCAGAUGGCUCAUUAAAUCAGUUAUAUGCAAUCGCGCGAGUGCGCCGCCAACAACACGCUGCCAGCGUGCCUACGCUGUGUGCUGUUUUCGCCGCCAAACAUGCACGGUGGCGUGUUGCGCUCUCCCUUCGCUUCUCAUCGGCUCGUCCAUGCCGUGAGAAGCACGCCCUUCGCCGACGCGCUGU